This 82-nucleotide transfer RNA is filed under the name Ixodes scapularis (black-legged tick). Its description in RNAcentral is "tRNA-Phe". The stretch from base 15 to 76 matches the Rfam family "tRNA", at positions 6 to 65 of the family's 71-position model. From Rfam's summary of the family: Transfer RNA (tRNA) molecules are approximately 80 nucleotides in length. Their secondary structure includes four short double-helical elements and three loops (D, anti-codon, and T loops). The record is from RNAcentral. Lineage: Eukaryota; Metazoa; Arthropoda; Arachnida; Ixodida; Ixodidae.
GCUCUACCAUUUGAGUUAGCUCAGUUGGUAGAGCGCUCCACUAAAAAUGGAGAGGUUCCUGGUUCGACACCAGGACCAGGCG